RNAcentral lists this transfer RNA (77 nucleotides) under Bdellovibrionales bacterium. Its description in RNAcentral is "tRNA-Met". It matches the Rfam family "tRNA". From Rfam's summary of the family: Transfer RNA (tRNA) molecules are approximately 80 nucleotides in length. Lineage: Bacteria; Pseudomonadati; Bdellovibrionota; Bdellovibrionia; Bdellovibrionales. The record is from RNAcentral.
GGUGGGGUAGCUCAGCUGGUUAGAGCAACGGAAUCAUAAUCCGUAGGUCGGCGGUUCAAGCCCGCCCCUCACUACCA